Molecule: non-coding RNA, 89 nt
Organism: Drosophila persimilis
Lineage: Eukaryota; Metazoa; Arthropoda; Insecta; Diptera; Drosophilidae
Source: Rfam
AAAUAAUCGGGCACCUAAGUAGUUGAUACAAGGGCGAUAAUGUAAAAGAACUUUCGCAUUGUGUGACCUACUUAAAUGCCCGAUUGUUU